AAUCAACGCUGGCGGCGUGCCUCAGACAUGCAAGUCGAACGAUUAAACUUCCCUUCGGGGAAGAUAUAAAGUGGCGCACGGGUGAGUAACACGUAAGUAAUCCACCUUCGAGUGGGGAAUAACAUCGGGAGACCGAUGCUAAUACCGCAUAACGCAGCGGCACCUUAUGGUGACAGUUGUUAAAGGAGCAAUUCGCUUGAAGAGGAGCUUGCGGCAGAUUAGCUAGUUGGUAAGGUAAUGGCUUACCAAGGCUUCGAUCUGUAUCCGGUCUAAGAGGACGGUCGGACACACUGACACUGAAUAACGGGUCAGACUCCUACGGGAGGCAGCAGUCGGGAAUUUUGGGCAAUGGGCGAAAGCCUGACCCAGCAACGCCGCGUGAAGGAUGAAGUAUUUCGGUAUGUAAACUUCGAAAGAAUGGGAAGAACUCAAUGACGGUACCAUUUAUAAGCUCCGGCUAACUACGUGCCAGCAGCCGCGGUAAUACGUAGGGAGCAAGCGUUGUUCGGUA
RNAcentral lists this ribosomal RNA (511 nucleotides) under uncultured bacterium. RNAcentral's name for it is "bacterial SSU rRNA". It matches the Rfam family "Bacterial small subunit ribosomal RNA", at positions 28 to 550 of the family's 1533-position model. The record is from RNAcentral.